CCUACGGGAGGCAGCAGUGGGGGAUAUUGCACAAUGGGGGAAACCCUGAUGCAGCGACGCCGCGUGUGGGAAGACGGUCCUCUGGAUUGUAAACCACUGUCCCCAGGGACGAAGAUGACGGUACCUGGGGAGGAAGCUCCGGCUAACUACGUGCCAGCAGCCGCGGUAAUACGUAGGGAGCGAGCGUUGUCCGGAAUUACUGGGUGUAAAGGGAGCGUAGGCGGGACUGCAAGUUGGGUGUCAAAUCUACCGGCUCAACCGGUAGCCGCACUCAAAACUGCAGUUCUUGAGUGAAGUAGAGGCAUGCGGAAUUCCUAGUGUAGCGGUGAAAUGCGUAGAUAUUAGGAGGAACACCAGUGGCGAAGGCGGCCUGCUGGGCUUUUACUGACGCUGAGGCUCGAAAGUGUGGGGAGCGAACAGGAUUAGAUACCCGAGUAGUC
RNAcentral lists this ribosomal RNA (440 nucleotides) under uncultured bacterium. Its description in RNAcentral is "partial 16S ribosomal RNA". It matches the Rfam family "Bacterial small subunit ribosomal RNA", at positions 338 to 795 of the family's 1533-position model. The record is from RNAcentral.